RNAcentral lists this transfer RNA (59 nucleotides) under Ictidomys tridecemlineatus (thirteen-lined ground squirrel). RNAcentral describes it as "Spermophilus tridecemlineatus (thirteen-lined ground squirrel) tRNA". It matches the Rfam family "tRNA", at positions 6 to 65 of the family's 71-position model. From Rfam's summary of the family: Transfer RNA (tRNA) molecules are approximately 80 nucleotides in length. Their secondary structure includes four short double-helical elements and three loops (D, anti-codon, and T loops). The record is from Rfam by way of RNAcentral. Lineage: Eukaryota; Metazoa; Chordata; Mammalia; Rodentia; Sciuridae.
UGUAGCUCUGUGGUAGAGCACUUGCCUAACGUGCAAGGUCCUGGGUUCAAUCCCCAGCA